Long non-coding RNA from Homo sapiens (human), 1120 nucleotides. Ensembl annotates it as cancer susceptibility 9. Its record names the gene CASC9. The record is from Ensembl. NCBI's taxonomy places the organism in Eukaryota, Metazoa, Chordata, Mammalia, Primates, Hominidae.
CCCAGCCUCGCUGCCGCCUUGCAGUUUGAUCUCAGACUGCUGUGCUAGCAAUCAGCGAGACUCCGUGGGCGUAGGACCCUCUGAACCAGUGAGAUGAAGCCGGUACCUCAGAUGGAAAUGCGGAAAUCACCGUCUUCUGUGUCGCUCAGGCUGGGAGCUGUAGACCGGAGCUGUUCCUAUUCGGCCAUCUUGGCUCCUCUCCCUCUUUAAAGUGAAUGUGAUUUUGAAGAAAGGAGGAAAGAUGUGAAAAGUGAUUGGUCAGCCACAUUCAUGGUGUUGAGAAAAGAAUUUGCUUUUCUGGAACAUAGCCUGUGAUAGCAGAACAACACCUGGCAAGAAACAGGUUAUGUUUGGCUGGAGAGUCAUUGGCACUAUCAAGAAAUAUUAAAGUGUAGAUUUGAGAGAGGAGGAGAAAGACCCAAGCAAAAUUGAAAACCAGGUGGGACCCAGACAGCAGCAAAGCAAUGGAAGCAUGUAUUUUGGUCAAUAUAGAGUUAAUACACAAUUUUGCCCCUCUUCUUCUGAUCAUGGGACUCAUAUUACCAGUCUUCACAUUUCCUUUAAAUUCAGGAAUCAGGAAGAAUUUCCAGAGUUUGCAGAUGGACACAUUUGCUGCUUCCAUUCUAAACAUAAGUUAGAAGAACCUUUCAACUGGAUUCCAACUUUAAUAUGUCACAAACAUAAAAAAGAAAGCUAUUUCCUGGACUUUUCUUCAUUAGAAAUUAAUAGAUUGUCAAUUGGCAUAGGGAAAAGAUAAUCAACAGAUGCCAACCCCAAGUUAACAGAAAUGCUAAAAUUAUAAGACAAAGACUUCAAAAUAGCUAUUUUAAUUUUGCCUAGUGAGGUAAAUGCAAACAUGCUCACUAUGAAUGAAAACAGGUAAUCUCAGCAGUCAUGUAAACUAUAAAAAUAAGCAAAUAUAAAUUUUAGAAUUAAAACACAAUAUCUAAAAAUAAAUUCACCUGAUAUUCUCAAUAGAAAAAAUGGUAAUGCAGAGAAAAAUGUAUGAAAAUAUGGCAAUUUGAAGAAGAGAGAAGAGAUCAAUAAAAUAAAUAAGUAUAUCCUUGGAGACCUGUGGAUGUUUUUUGAAAAGUGAAUCAUGUAAGUAAUUGAAGUCCCA